GAUGAACGCUGGCUACAGGCUUAACACAUGCAAGUCGAGGGGAAACGACGGGGAAGCUUGCUUCCCCGGGCGUCGACCGGCGCACGGGUGAGUAACGCGUAUCCAACCUGCCUCUGACUGAGGGAUAACCCGUCGAAAGUCGGCCUAAUACCUCAUGGCAUCGUCUGCGGGCAUCCAACGACGAUUAAAGAUUUCAUCGGUCAGAGAUGGGGAUGCGUCUGAUUAGCUAGUUGGCGGGGUAACGGCCCACCAAGGCGACGAUCAGUAGGGGUUCUGAGAGGAAGGUCCCCCACAUUGGAACUGAGACACGGUCCAAACUCCUACGGGAGGCAGCAGUGAGGAAUAUUGGUCAAUGGGCGGGAGCCUGAACCAGCCAAGUAGCGUGCAGGAUGACGGCCCUAUGGGUUGUAAACUGCUUUUAUGCGGGGAUAAAGUGAGGGACGUGUCCUUCAUUGCAGGUA
This 461-nucleotide ribosomal RNA is filed under the name Segatella oris. Its description in RNAcentral is "bacterial SSU rRNA". It matches the Rfam family "Bacterial small subunit ribosomal RNA", at positions 28 to 477 of the family's 1533-position model. Lineage: Bacteria; Pseudomonadati; Bacteroidota; Bacteroidia; Bacteroidales; Prevotellaceae. The record is from RNAcentral.